GUCCUCGUAGCUCAGCUGGAUAGAGCACUCGCCUUCUAAGCGAGUGGUCAUGGGUUCGAGUCCCCUCGAGGACGCCA
RNAcentral lists this transfer RNA (77 nucleotides) under Solobacterium sp. RNAcentral describes it as "tRNA-Arg". It matches the Rfam family "tRNA". Rfam says of the family: Transfer RNA (tRNA) molecules are approximately 80 nucleotides in length. Their secondary structure includes four short double-helical elements and three loops (D, anti-codon, and T loops). Further hydrogen bonds mediate the characteristic L-shaped molecular structure. tRNAs have two regions of fundamental functional importance: the anti-codon, which is responsible for specific mRNA codon recognition, and the 3' end, to which the tRNAs corresponding amino acid is attached (by aminoacyl-tRNA synthetases). tRNAs cope with the degeneracy of the genetic code in two manners: having more than one tRNA (with a specific anti-codon) for a particular amino acid; and 'wobble' base-pairing, i.e. permitting non-standard base-pairing at the 3rd anti-codon position. RNAcentral also lists the same sequence under 1 other name. Lineage: Bacteria; Bacillati; Bacillota; Erysipelotrichia; Erysipelotrichales; Erysipelotrichaceae. The record is from RNAcentral.